UAUAUUAAAAUAACAAAUACAUAAUUUAUAAAUUUUAUUUAACCUAAUACAUGAUAAUCACAAGUACAGAUUAAAAUAAAAUCCCCAAACCUAAUAUUCAUCAUCUUCAACCUCCAUAUCUCACCACUAUCUUCAGCCUCCGACUCCCACACGACCACAUGUCCCGACACUGUGCUAUUCUCUUCACCCUGUCCUCAACCUUAGCAGUCGCUACUUCCUUCUCUCUUCUUCUCAACGCAACUGCCACUUUCCACCCACCACACUCCUCUUCUCUCCUCUCAAGCCGCCACCUCCCCCUCUCUCUGCUCGUUGCUGUUACCUCCUCCUCUUUAUCCUCGCGCGGCCACCACCUCCUCUCGUGCUCGCCCGCGACCGCCACCUCCUCCUCUGCUCGCGUGCAGCCACCAGAUGGAACUGGCCAUGACCCAAACGCCCAGUUCUGCUUCUGAUCUGACGGAGUAAAUGCCUACAACCUUAGCUGACCACGACGGGGAGCCGUCCAAAGGAGUUUCCCCUCAGAUCUACGCCCACUGCCCCUGCGACCAUCUCCCAUUCCCGAUCUGUUCAUCGCCACCGCGCUGCUUUGCGGCUGCGCCGCCACCACCAUCUCGUUCCUCUGACUUCCGAGCACCACCGCCAUUCUCUUUCCCAGCACCAAGGCAGGGUAGUUCAUGUGUCAAAUUUGACGGAAAAUUACACUUAAAACAGGUGUUUGAAUUCAAGGUUCCAGGUUUGGGUUUGUAGGGGUUGUUGAUGAUGAUGGAUGAAGACAUGAAUUGAUGUAGAUGAUGAUGUUGGGAGAUGAUGAUGAAUUGUUCAAUGGGUGAGAACACCGGGUGUUUUAUGGAUCAAGAUGUUGGGAGAUGAUGAUGAAUUGUUCAAGACGAUGAAUUAAUCAAGAUGUUGGGAGAUGAUGAUGAAUUGAUAAAUAUGAUGAAUUGUUUAAUGGAUGAAAAUUACACUUAAAACGCGUGUUUUAAUUACUGAAUUUUUUUUAUUUAA
This is a long non-coding RNA of Lotus japonicus, 1002 nucleotides long. RefSeq lists it as uncharacterized. Lineage: Eukaryota; Viridiplantae; Streptophyta; Magnoliopsida; Fabales; Fabaceae. The transcript is spliced from 2 exons. The record is from RefSeq and is a predicted model, not a curated record.